Molecule: ribosomal RNA, 301 nt
Filed under: uncultured bacterium
Lineage: Bacteria
Description: partial 16S ribosomal RNA
Rfam family: Bacterial small subunit ribosomal RNA
Source: RNAcentral
CAGUAGCCACGGUAACACGGAGGGAGCUAGCGUUGUUCGGAAUUACUGGGCGUAAAGCGCGCGUAGGCGGUUACUCAAGUCAGAGGUGAAAGCCCGGGGCUCAACCCCGGAACUGCCUUUGAAACUAGGUGACUAGAAUCUUGGAGAGGUCAGUGGAAUUCCGAGUGUAGAGGUGAAAUUCGUAGAUAUUCGGAAGGACACCAGUGGCGAAGGCGACUGACUGGACAAGUAUUGACGCUGAGGUGCGAAAGCGUGGGGAGCAAACAGGAUUAGAUACCCGCGUAGUCCCUGUCUCUUAUAC